Molecule: ribosomal RNA, 180 nt
Filed under: uncultured Glomeromycotina
Lineage: Eukaryota; Fungi; Glomeromycota
Description: partial small subunit ribosomal RNA
Rfam family: Eukaryotic small subunit ribosomal RNA (bases 50-180)
Source: RNAcentral
GGCCUGAUUGUCCGGUCCGCCGUAAGGCGUGUACUGGGCCGAUCGGGCCUUUCCUUCUGGGGAACCAGUGUGCUCUUUAUUGAGUGUGCUGGGGAUCCAGGACUUUUACUUUGAAAAAAUUAGAGUGUUUAAAGCAGGCCUAUGCUUGAAUACAUUAGCAUGGAAUAAUAGAAUAGGACU